UACGUAGGGUGCAAGCGUUGUCCGGAAUUAUUGGGCGUAAAGAGCUCGUAGGCGGUUUGUCGCGUCUGCUGUGAAAACUCGGAGCUUAACCCCGGGCCUGCAGUGGGUACGGGCAGACUAGAGUGCGGUAGGGGAGACUGGAAUUCCUGGUGUAGCGGUGAAAUGCGCAGAUAUCAGGAGGAACACCGGUGGCGAAGGCGGGUCUCUGGGCCGUAACUGACGCUGAGGAGCGAAAGCGUGGGGAGCGAACAGG
RNAcentral lists this ribosomal RNA (253 nucleotides) under uncultured bacterium. RNAcentral describes it as "partial 16S ribosomal RNA". It matches the Rfam family "Bacterial small subunit ribosomal RNA", at positions 524 to 776 of the family's 1533-position model. The record is from RNAcentral.